This is a long non-coding RNA of Bos taurus (domestic cattle), 513 nucleotides long. The record is from Ensembl. NCBI's taxonomy places the organism in Eukaryota, Metazoa, Chordata, Mammalia, Artiodactyla, Bovidae.
AGAAAAGACACGGGUUCGAUCUCUGGGUUGGAAAGAUCCUCUUGAAGAGGCUUCCCUGGUGGCUCAAACGGACACAAAUCUGAGGAACUUUCUGGAGUGAUACAGAUGUUCCAUAUCUGGAUCUGAUGGUUACACUGAUGUAUAAUAGGUAAAAUUUGGUGUGAAGAAGUAAUAACAGCUAGCCCUUACCUGGCACUUACCACAUACCAAGCACUCUUUGAAGUACUUUGCGCAUAACUCAUUUCAUCCUAACAAUAACCCUGUAAUCGUGUGGGAUCUCAGUUUCUUGUUCCCUGACCAAAUAUUGAACCCUCACCCCCUACAUUGGAAGUGUGGAGUCUUAACUACUGGACCACCAGCGAAGUCCCUCCAGAACCAUUUUUAAGGAUCUUAAUAAAUCUUGGCAAAGUUCCCUUCCCCAAAUGCUCUAUCUUCCCCAAAUAUAAAUCUCUUCAUGCCUUUCUGUUCAAAAAGGAUGGCUGGCUCCUCCAGUGCCUAUUUAGUGUCCAGCAC